UAAACAUCUGCAAAACAUUUUUGAAUGCUGGUUUGAGAACGCUCCUCCUUUGUCAUCAUGAAACAUAAUCAAUGUUUCUAACAACAUGACUGAAACAUUUUCUUAUUAAUUAUUAGCAUUUGUAGGUAAUGUUAUCUAAUGUUGUGGGAGCACUCUCUGCCGAUUGGGAGAUAAUUUUCACUGCAGAACGCUUCCAAGUUUAUUCUCUUCAUCAUGAUUUGCACAUUUGGUUAAUUGCUAUUUUCUAACUUUGACCUCUUUUUGUUAGUUUUUCUGGAAAUCUCUACUCAGGUUUUUUCUGUUCCUCCCCCCAUCCAGAGCUACUGUCUUGGUUUUGGUGCAAACCUUGCAUCCGUCCAUUCACUUGAGCAGUAUAAUUGGCUGAGAAGCAUGAUUAAAGGUGUAACUCAGGGGAAUCCAGAAACAUGGAUUGGAGGCUCUGACUGCCAACAGGAGGGGAAGUAGUUUUGGAGUGAUGGUACUCCUUUCAAAUACAGUUUCUGGGGCCCUGGACAGCCUGACAAUAGUGGUGGUGGCCAGGACUGUCUUCAAAUGAACUGGGGAGCCUCCAAUCGCUGGGAUGACUUACAGUGCAACAUUCCGAGACCAUCUGUCUGUGCCAAGGAAAUCUGAUCUGAUGAUUCCCAAGCUGACGCUGAGGCACAAAGCACCAAAAGUGCAAACAAAUAAAUCAUUUUUCUUCUUUCUCUGUCUUUUCUAUCGCUGUAAUGCAACACAAGGAAUGAAGCAUCGAGUGGUAAAAACAGGAGCUGGAUUCUCUUUCAAGCCCAGAGAAAACUGAAUGUGUUAUGAAAAGAAUGCUUUUUCUGCAUUUUCCCUGGCUCAUGUCAAAAUUAAAAAUCUUGAAGCAUCGAA
Molecule: long non-coding RNA, 876 nt
Organism: Amphiprion ocellaris (clown anemonefish)
Lineage: Eukaryota; Metazoa; Chordata; Actinopteri; Pomacentridae
Source: Ensembl